This 67-nucleotide transfer RNA is filed under the name Rousettus amplexicaudatus (Geoffroy's rousette). Its description in RNAcentral is "tRNA-Cys". It matches the Rfam family "tRNA". Rfam says of the family: Transfer RNA (tRNA) molecules are approximately 80 nucleotides in length. Their secondary structure includes four short double-helical elements and three loops (D, anti-codon, and T loops). Lineage: Eukaryota; Metazoa; Chordata; Mammalia; Chiroptera; Pteropodidae. The record is from RNAcentral.
GCCCUGUGGUGUAUGGCACACGUCGAAUUGCAAAUUCGGAGAAGCAGUUUCAACUCUGUCGGGGCUU